UCCGGCUUAUCACCGGCGGUUUCUUUAGAGUGCCCAACUAAAUGAUGGCAACUAAAGACGAGGGUUGCGCUCGUUGCGGGACUUAACCCAACAUCUCACGACACGAGCUGACGACAACCAUGCACCACCUGUCACUCUGUUCCCCGAAGGGAAACGUCCUAUCUCUAGGAGUGUCAGAGGAUGUCAAGACCUGGUAAGGUUCUUCGCGUUGCUUCGAAUUAAACCACAUGCUCCGCCGCUUGUGCGGGCCCCCGUCAAUUCCUUUGAGUUUUAGCCUUGCGGCCGUACUCCCCAGGCGGGGUGCUUAAUGCGUUAGCUUCGGCACGGACGGGGUCGAUAUCCGCCCACACCUAGCACCCAACGUUUACGGCUAGGACUAC
Molecule: unclassified non-coding RNA, 380 nt
Filed under: uncultured bacterium
Lineage: Bacteria
Description: contains 16S-23S intergenic spacer region
Source: RNAcentral